CCUACGGGAGACAGCAGUGAGGAAUAUUGGUCAAUGGGCGGGAGCCUGAACCAGCCAAGUCGCGUGAGGGAAGACGGUCCUAUGGAUUGUAAACCUCGUUAGGCGGGGAGCAAUGCCGGGCACGCGUGCCCGGAGGGAGAGGACCCGCAGAAUAAGCAUCGGCGAACUCCGGGCCAGCAGCCGCGGUAAUACGGAGGAUGCGAGCGUUAUCCGGAUUUAUUGGGUUUAAAGGGUGCGUAGGCGGAUUUUUAAGUCAGCGGUAAAAUGUCCGGGCUCAACCUCGGCACUACUACCCAAACUGUCGGACUUGAGUGCCGGCGGGGCAACUGGACUUCCUAGUGUAGCGGUUGAAUGCGUAGAUAUUAGGAGGAACACCAGUGGCGAAGGCGAUUUGCUGGACUGUAACUGACACUGAGGCACGAAACCGUGGGGAGCAAACAGGAUUAGAUACCCUGGUAGUC
Molecule: ribosomal RNA, 461 nt
Filed under: uncultured bacterium
Lineage: Bacteria
Description: partial 16S ribosomal RNA
Rfam family: Bacterial small subunit ribosomal RNA
Source: RNAcentral